UUUUUCAUGGAUAUUCUUGUGAGACUAUUGUAUUAUCCUGUUUUUACACAGUUAGAACACCGUGUGACUGUGUUAGAAAUCAUCUUUUUGAAUAAUAGUCUUCGCUUAUCUAUAUCCCAUCUCUUUAUAUCCAGGAAAGCACUGACCCAUAGCACAUAGUCAAAUUGCAUUUUUUUUUCUUUUAGGGUCUAUUUCAGCUGUGGAUUUCUCCCAGGAGUGAGAGUGCCUGGACUCUGCUCAGAGGGCUUCGUACAUUGAUGUGAUGUUGGAGAAUUACAGCAACCUGGUUUCUGUCGGAUCCACUGAGAUCAACCAGAGCCCUUUGUGAGACUGUGGGUUUGGAGUUAUGUGCUGGAGCCUGACUGCUCAGCAGAGGAUGACAACUAAAGGCAGUGAUUCUCCAUCCAUCGCCAACGUCUGAGAGGGCUCCCUGAUCACCCAGACCUGCUCUCCUGUGGAACAGAACAAAGAGACCUGGA
This is a long non-coding RNA of Rattus rattus (black rat), 479 nucleotides long. RefSeq lists it as uncharacterized. The transcript is spliced from 3 exons. The record is from RefSeq and is a predicted model, not a curated record. NCBI's taxonomy places the organism in Eukaryota, Metazoa, Chordata, Mammalia, Rodentia, Muridae.